AUUGAACGCUGGCGGCAUGCCUAACACAUGCAAGUCGAACGAGUGGCGGACGGGUGAGUAAUGUCUGGGAAACUGCCCGAUGGCGGGGGAUAACUACUGGAAACGGUAGCUAAUACCGCAUACAAUCAGAUGGGCCCAGAUGGGAUUAGCUAGUUGGUGGGGUAACGGCUCACCAAGGCGACGAUCCGUAGCUGGUCUGAGAGGAUGACCAGCCACACUGGAACUGAGACACGGCCCAGACUCCUACGGGAGGCAGCAGUGGGGAAUAUUGCACAAUGGGCGCAAGCCUGAUGCAGCCAUGCCGCGUGUAUGAAGAAGGCCUUCGGGUUGUAAAGUACUUUUAGCGGGGAGGCGUUACCCGCAGAAUAAGCACCGGCUAACUCCGUGCCAGCAGCCGCGGUAAUUC
RNAcentral lists this ribosomal RNA (406 nucleotides) under uncultured bacterium. RNAcentral describes it as "partial 16S ribosomal RNA". It matches the Rfam family "Bacterial small subunit ribosomal RNA", at positions 30 to 526 of the family's 1533-position model. The record is from RNAcentral.